ACACGACACACAUCGGGUUAGUGAAAACUCUCCAACUGGCGCUACACUUUCUUUAGUGCGUUGUGUGUCGCGGAGGUUCUUUGGCUGUGUCGCUUGUGCUCGCCAGCACCACAAAAUGGCUUCCUGUGUGCAGACGGGCCUACUGACUGCAGUAUGCGGCGAGAACUGGAGGAAUGUGACUACAAACGCUUGAGAUGCAAGUGGACUUGAAGUUUCUCUGAAUCUCUUGCAGAGGAAGCAUGUGGUGAUCCUUGCAACUCUGAAGCCCUCACACCAGGUUGUUUUGAUGGCCUUUUGAAAGCUUCACAGAUAUGUCCACUUGGCUGGUGCAUCUGUUUAAUAGCAGAGGAGGUAAAUGAGUCUGCUUGGCUUGUACAAAUGCAUCUUUAGGAGGUCUCAUGCACACAUGUGUGAGAUUUUGGUUUCUUCACCCAAAUUCGGGAAGCAUUGCAUCUGUUUUAAACACACAACUUCAUUUACCCAAGACUUGCCUGUAACCCGUGGUCUUUGAAGAACAUACGAGAGAGCAGCACUAGGUUGAGCUGAAUAAUAAACACAUGUUCAUAUUGUGCAUGCCAAGUUUUGCUUGGUGGGUUUGUACCAACUAAUAAAUCCAAAAACCAUGA
Acipenser ruthenus (sterlet) is the source of this 626-nucleotide long non-coding RNA. RefSeq lists it as uncharacterized. The transcript has 7 exons. The record is from RefSeq and is a predicted model, not a curated record. Lineage: Eukaryota; Metazoa; Chordata; Actinopteri; Acipenseriformes; Acipenseridae.